Molecule: ribosomal RNA, 253 nt
Filed under: uncultured bacterium
Lineage: Bacteria
Description: partial 16S ribosomal RNA
Rfam family: Bacterial small subunit ribosomal RNA
Source: RNAcentral
UACGGGGGGGGCAAGCGUUGUUCGGAAUUACUGGGCGUAAAGGGCGCGUAGGCGGCCUUCUAAGUCGGACGUGAAAUCCCUCGGCUUAACCGAGGAACUGCGUCCGAUACUGGAUGGCUUGAAUCCGGGAGAGGGAUGCGGAAUUCCAGGUGUAGCGGUGAAAUGCGUAGAUAUCUGGAGGAACACCGGUGGCGAAGGCGGCAUCCUGGACCGGCAUUGACGCUGAUGAGCGAAAGCCAGGGGAGCAAACGGG